This 161-nucleotide non-coding RNA is filed under the name Halalkalibacter okhensis. RNAcentral's name for it is "Bacillus okhensis GlcN6P sequence". It matches the Rfam family "glmS glucosamine-6-phosphate activated ribozyme aptamer". Rfam says of the family: This entry contains a glucosamine-6-phosphate activated ribozyme that is found in the mRNA for GlmS. GlmS is an enzyme that uses fructose-6-phosphate and glutamine to generate glucosamine-6-phosphate. The ribozyme catalyses self cleavage of the glmS mRNA that is thought to regulate GlmS activity. Lineage: Bacteria; Bacillati; Bacillota; Bacilli; Caryophanales; Bacillaceae. The record is from Rfam by way of RNAcentral.
UCAAUUUAAAAAGCGCCUGGACUAUAGUGUAUAUAGUUGACGAGGAGAGGGAGUAUCGAACGGUCGGCGGAUGCCCUCCGGUUGUAAGCAUGACAACCGUAAGACUUCUGAGUGAAAACAAAGAGGCAACUCUUUGCACAAAGCCAGAAGUAAGCAUGCCU